Long non-coding RNA from Pan troglodytes (chimpanzee), 1013 nucleotides. RefSeq lists it as uncharacterized. Lineage: Eukaryota; Metazoa; Chordata; Mammalia; Primates; Hominidae. The record is from RefSeq and is a predicted model, not a curated record. The transcript has 3 exons.
UACACCAAUAGGCAGUCUGUAUCUAGCUCAAGGUUUGUAAACACACCAAUCAGCACCCUGUGUCUAGCUCAGGGUUUGUGAAUGCACCAAUCGACACUCUGUAUCUAGCUACUCUGGUGGGGCCUUGGAGAACCUUUGUGUCCACACUCUGUAUCUAGUUAAUCUAGUGGCGACGUGGAGAACCUUUGUGUCUAGCUCAGGGAUUGUAAAUGCACCAGUCAGCACCCUGUCAAAACAGACCACUCGGCUCUACCAAUCAGCAGGAUGUGGGUGGUGCCAGAUAAGAGAAUAAAAGCAGGCUGCCCCAGCCAGCAGUGGCAACCCGCUGAGGUCCACGUCCACGCUGUGGAAGCUUCGUUUUUUUCGCUUUUUACAAUAAGUCUUGCUAUUGCUCAGUCUUUGAGUCCACGCUACUUUUAUGAGCUGUAACGCUCACUGCAAAGGUCUGUAGCUUCACUCCUGAAGCCAGCGAGACCACUGAGCUCACCGGGAGGAACAAACAACUCCAGACGCACUGUCUUAAGAGCUAUAACACUGCGAAGGUCUGCAUCCUCACUUCUGAGCCAGCGAGACCACGAACCCACCAGAAGGAAGAAACUCGGAACACAUCCGAAUAUCAGAAGGAACAAACUCCAGACGCGCCACCUCAAGAGCUGUAACACUCACGGCGAGGGUCCGCGGCUUCAUUCUUGAGGGCAAAAUCUUUUUCCCUUGAAGACUGGAAAUAUUAUCCAUGUUGUCCUCCGGAAUAUUUUCAAUGACUUGUGCCCUGCCAGCUCUAGCUUUUCAAGGGUCUACAUUCAUCAUCAACAGAUCCUGGGGGUUCAUGCACAGAUUUCUUACCUGGGUAUAUUGUGUGAUGCUGAGCUUUGGAAUUCAAUUGAUUUCAUCACCCAGGUAAUGAGCAUAGUAUCCAACAGUUAGUUUUUCAACCCUUUCCCCCACCUUCCCUCCUCUAUUGGUCCCCAGUGUCUAUUGUUGUCAUCGUUAUGUCCCCAAGUACUCAAUGUUUA